GAUGAACGCUAGCGGCAGGCUUAACACAUGCAAGUCGAGGGGCAGCAUGAAGGUUAGCAAUAACCUUUGAUGGCGACCGGCGCAAGGGUGCGUAACGCGUGAGCAACUUGCCCGUUUCAGGGGGAUAACCGGUGGAAACGCCGACUAAUACCCCAUGGCAUUGGUUGGAGGCAUCUCCAUCCAAUUAAAGAAUUUCGGAUAAGGAUAGGCUCGCGUGACAUUAGCUAGACGGCGGGGUAACGGCCCACCGUGGCGACGAUGUCUAGGGGUUCUGAGAGGAAGGUCCCCCACACUGGAACUGAGACACGGUCCAGACUCCUACGGGAGGCAGCAGUGAGGAAUAUUGGUCAAUGGUCGAGAGACUGAACCAGCCAUGCCGCGUGAAGGUCACGGCCCUAUGGGUCUUAAACUUCUUUUGUAAGGGAGCAAUAAGGUCUACGUGUAGACUGAUGAGAGUACCUUACGAAUAAGCAUCGGCUAACUCCGUG
This 488-nucleotide ribosomal RNA is filed under the name uncultured bacterium. RNAcentral's name for it is "bacterial SSU rRNA". It matches the Rfam family "Bacterial small subunit ribosomal RNA", at positions 28 to 507 of the family's 1533-position model. The record is from RNAcentral.